AUGAAGUCAGGAGUCCAUCAUAUGAGAGCACCACCGUUCGAUGUUCUGGACACCAAAAUCUGGAUAAGUGUUCAAUAUAAGCUCCUCACCGAUCAACAAUAUACCAAAAGAAAAUCAGUCGAUGCAUUGGCACAAAAAAUAUAUGGCAAACAAAUAUGUUACAUUAAACCAAAAGAAAAAGUCUGUUUAGUACAAGAAAAUGAAAAACGUGAAACCAAUAGUCCUAUUUUUAUUUUUUAUUUUUUAUUUUUAACGGGGAUUUAUUUUAUCACUGAUCGUAAGAAAUCAAUAGCUAUUUGCUUCAUACAAAGAAAGAAAAAUUAUACCCACACAGCCCAAAAAAUUGAACACAUGGGGCAACUCAUAGAAAAGCAUAAGGCCUAG
Molecule: ribosomal RNA, 384 nt
Filed under: Triticum aestivum (bread wheat)
Lineage: Eukaryota; Viridiplantae; Streptophyta; Magnoliopsida; Poales; Poaceae
Description: partial small subunit ribosomal RNA
Source: RNAcentral